UACGAAGGGGGCUAGCGUUGCUCGGAAUCACUGGGCGUAAAGCGCACGUAGGCGGCUUCUUAAGUCAGGGGUGAAAUCCUGGAGCUCAACUCCAGAACUGCCUUUGAUACUGAGGAUCUUGGGUUCGGGAGAGGUGAGUGGAACUGCGAGUGUAGAGGUGAAAUUCGUAGAUAUUCGCAAGAACACCAGUGGCGAAGGCGGCUCACUGGCCCGAUACUGACGCUGAGGCACGAAAGCGUGGGAGCAAACAGG
This 252-nucleotide ribosomal RNA is filed under the name uncultured bacterium. Its description in RNAcentral is "partial 16S ribosomal RNA". It matches the Rfam family "Bacterial small subunit ribosomal RNA", at positions 524 to 776 of the family's 1533-position model. The record is from RNAcentral.